This 73-nucleotide transfer RNA is filed under the name Heterocephalus glaber (naked mole-rat). It matches the Rfam family "tRNA". From Rfam's summary of the family: Transfer RNA (tRNA) molecules are approximately 80 nucleotides in length. Their secondary structure includes four short double-helical elements and three loops (D, anti-codon, and T loops). Lineage: Eukaryota; Metazoa; Chordata; Mammalia; Rodentia; Bathyergidae. The record is from Rfam by way of RNAcentral.
UGGGGUGUGGCUUAGUAGUAUAGCAUGUGCUUGGCAUGCACAAGGCCCCUGGAUUCAAUCUCCAACACCCCCU